CUCUUUUUAGCAAAAAUAAUGCAUUAAAUUUAGGAUUUAAAGAUAAGAACAAUUUCUUAAAAGAGA
Molecule: transfer RNA, 66 nt
Filed under: Labidocera rotunda
Lineage: Eukaryota; Metazoa; Arthropoda; Copepoda; Calanoida; Pontellidae
Description: tRNA-Leu
Source: RNAcentral